Molecule: RNA transcript, 2823 nt
Organism: Microplitis mediator
Lineage: Eukaryota; Metazoa; Arthropoda; Insecta; Hymenoptera; Braconidae
Exons: 8
Source: RefSeq, a predicted model, not a curated record
ACUUAAAAAUAUCCUACUGCCGCGGUAUGUAAUUUUUGUUAAUUAAUGAAAAAAUAUAUUGUAUUUUUCUUCAUUUCGUGUAUGAAUAGUGUCCAUUAAAACGUCAGCAGUGGAUAAACUCGUUAACAACAGAAUUAAACAACCGUCAGUAUGUUUGUGAUUUGCAUUUUCAAAAUGAUGCAAUUCAAAAUUCUUAUCUCACAAAUUUACCAAACGGUGAAGUUAACAAAAUCGUAAAAGGUAGAAUAACACGUAUCCCGGGAUCAGUUGCAUUGAUAGUCAAUGUCAAACAAUCUUCAAUUAUUGGUGACUGUAAAAUCCAAGCUUUGAAUGAGACAUCAAAGAUACGUCAAUUAAUCGAUGAGCAACAUGAACAAAACCUGCAGUUUCAAGCUAUUGGAGAACACCAGGGUCAAUUGUUGUAUGAGAUAUCAGAGAAGCCUAAAUCACUACAUGAGAAACAUGAACAAAAUCAACAGCAACAAGUAAUUGAAGAGGACCGAGAUCAAUCGUUGAAUAAGACAUCGGAGGAGCUUGGAUCACUACAUGAACAAGAUCAGCAGCAGCAGCCAGUUAUUGAAGAACACCAGGACCAAUCUUCAAAUGAAACAUUUGAGAAGCCUAAGUCAGUAACUGAACAAGAUCAGCAGCAGUAAGCAAUCGAAGAACAAUUUAACUUUGAUGACGUGAGAAUAGAAAACCAGGAGCAAUCACAUCACAAGAAUCAAGAAAAUGAACAAAUCAAUAACAUUUUACCGCAAUAUAGAUUACCAGUGAAACGGAAAUUAAAAUAUCCUGAUGAAAAUGAAACGUUAAAGCGUCAAAAAUAUUCUGAGCAUGAUAUUGAUAUUAACCGUCAAAUAAAUUUUGAUAAUGAUACUGAAGUUAUGGUCAUCAUUAUUGAGCUGAACAAGUUGUUCCCAAUUGGUUGGAGCUUUGUAAUUGGUAUUAAUCAAUUAAUAGCAAUUCAGUUUGAUCGUAUUAAAUUUAAAGAAAGAGUACGGUUGAUCCUAAAUGACGAUCAAUUUGCAUCGGUUACAUUUUUAGAAAAUUAUAAAAAAGAAAUUGAUGGACAAAUAAAAUCAGUCAAUGAUUUAAUUGAAUGUUUAAGAUCUAUGGAACAAAAAAAAUUAUGCACUAGAACUGGAUUUGAUAAAAAAAGUUAUUCAUUAAAAUGUCAUGCUGACGUGACUGAAAAAUACAAACGUUGCCAAGCUUGUCCGAGAUGUCAAGAAUGUCAAAAACUACGUUUAAAUUUACAAAAAGUAGAAAAAGGUCGAAUCCUUAAUACUGAGAACAAAAUGAAAAGAAAAACUUCUAAAGCUACCAAUUUGGAAUUAUAUAAAAAACAAAACGUAUUCAACAACAGCUAAAAUUAUCUACAUUAAAAUUACGUAGUAUUCAAAGAAAAACAAAAACUGUGUAUGAAGGCCAAUUUAAUAAUAAAAUUUCUUUGCUACCAAAACAACAACAGACAACAGUGAGAAUGUGUUUUGAAAACUCCGAAAAGAAGGGCCCAACUGGCAGAAGAUAUGAAGUUGAAUGGAUUUAUGAAUGUCUUCUCAUACGAAUGAAAAGCACUUGUACGUACAAUAUGAUACAAGCAACAAAUAUAAUUCCUCUACCAACUAUUGACAAGUUAUCGAAGUAUAUACAAAAAAUUAGUUCGUUGAUCUUUAGAUUUUUACCCGAAACGUUUGACAUCCUACGGAAAAAAGGAGAAUCAAUGGCAUUUGAAGAUAAAAUUGGCCAAAUAUCAGCUGGUGAGGUUAAACUUAUGGAAAAUAUUGAGUUUAAUAAACAAAUAGCUGAGUAUACUGGUUUUGUUGAUCUUGGAAAGUAUACAUCUGAAUCUGAUAGUGACGUUCCUGGAGAUAAGGCUCUCGUUUUUAUGUUUGUACCGUAUCGGGGAAAUUCUGCUCAACCUUUAGGAUGCUUUAUCACUAAAAAUUGUAUAACUAGUGAAGUUCUUCAUAAGUUAUUUUUAGAAUGCAUUAUACAUGUAGAAAAUGCUGGUUUUCGUGUGAAUCCUCUAGUAACUGACGCUGCUCAAUGGAAUAGAGGAGUUUGGACGAAAUUAGGAGUUGACACAAAUAACAUCAGUUGUGAACAUCCAUGUGACUCUAGCCGUAGAUUAUAUAUGAUAUCAGACUUCCCACAUUUAGUAAAAUGUUUUCGAAAUGGAUUGGUUGAGUUAGAUGAAUUUGAGAUAAUUAUUGGACUAAUUUUUCCACAAUUUAGCAUAGAGUUUUUUUUAUGAAAAGCUAAAUAGUUUCUAAGUACGUUAUAUAAAUAACGUUGAAAAGCUGUCUUAUAUGUGAUAACUAACACCUGUAGGAGUAGUCAAAAAAAAAAUAUUGGGAAAAUCUUUUGCUAAUAUGAAAAACCUAAUUUGGCAACAACUUACAAACUAACACCUGCACAUUUAGAUCAUAAACUCUAUCAAAAAAUGUCUGUUCCAAUGGCUUAUCAGUUGUACUCACGCGAAGUUCGUUGUGCAAUGACGAUUUUACGAGAAAAUGGAAAUGAAAAAUUUGAAGGCUCAGAACCAACCGAGAAAUUUAUCAAAAUAAUUGAUGAUGGCAUCCAAGCUAUGACUUCGCACGAUGCUAAGAACGCACUAUACUUUAAGGAUACUUGUGAACAAAAGAAGAUGUCCUCAAGAGUCAAUAUCACCCGGGUCACCCACGUGCUGUUUUUUUGAGGCGUCAACUUUAAGCGACAAUAAUAAUAAUAAUAAUAAUAAUAAUAAAUUAUUUAAUAUUCUCAAAACAAUUUUUUUUUUCCUUCUAAAAAAAUCUAGGCAGCGGUUGGCCCUGCAGG